UGGGGAAUAUUGCACAAUGGGCGAAAGCCUGAUGCAGCAACGCCGCGUGAGUGAUGAAGGUCUUCGGGUUGUAAAGCUCUGUCUUCUGGGACGAUAAUGACGGUACCAGAGGAGGAAGCCACGGCUAACUACGUGCCAGCAGCCGCGGUAAUACGUAGGUGGCAAGCGUUGUCCGGAUUUACUGGGCGUAAAGGAUGCGUAGGCGGAUACUUAAGUCAGAUGUGAAAAUCCCGGGCUUAACUUGGGAACUGCAUUUGAAACUGGGUAUCUAGAGUGCGGGAGAGGAAAGUGGAAUUCCUAGUGUAGCGGUGAAAUGCGUAGAGAUUAGGAAGAACACCAGUGGCGAAGGCGACUUUCUGGACCGUAACUGACGCUGAGGCAUGAAAGCGUGGGGAGCAAACA
Molecule: ribosomal RNA, 402 nt
Filed under: uncultured bacterium
Lineage: Bacteria
Description: bacterial SSU rRNA
Rfam family: Bacterial small subunit ribosomal RNA
Source: RNAcentral